UGGGGAAUAUUGGACAAUGGGCGCAAGCCUGAUCCAGCCAUGCCGCGUGUGUGAAGAAGGCCUUUUGGUUGUAAAGCACUUUAAGCGAGGAGGAGGCUACUUGGAUUAAUACUCUGGGAUAGUGGACGUUACUCGCAGAAUAAGCACCGGCUAACUCUGUGCCAGCAGCCGCGGUAAUACAGAGGGUGCGAGCGUUAAUCGGAUUUACUGGGCGUAAAGCGUGCGUAGGCGGCUUCUUAAGUCGGAUGUGAAAUCCCUGAGCUUAACUUAGGAAUUGCAUUCGAUACUGGGAAGCUAGAGUAUGGGAGAGGAUGGUAGAAUUCCAGGUGUAGCGGUGAAAUGCGUAGAGAUCUGGAGGAAUACCGAUGGCGAAGGCAGCCAUCUGGCCUAAUACUGACGCUGAGGUACGAAAGCAUGGGGAGCAAACAGG
This 430-nucleotide ribosomal RNA is filed under the name bacterium. RNAcentral's name for it is "partial 16S ribosomal RNA". It matches the Rfam family "Bacterial small subunit ribosomal RNA", at positions 355 to 776 of the family's 1533-position model. The record is from RNAcentral.